This 1600-nucleotide ribosomal RNA is filed under the name Klebsiella pneumoniae. RNAcentral's name for it is "bacterial LSU rRNA". It matches the Rfam family "Bacterial large subunit ribosomal RNA", at positions 1 to 1637 of the family's 2925-position model. Lineage: Bacteria; Pseudomonadati; Pseudomonadota; Gammaproteobacteria; Enterobacterales; Enterobacteriaceae. The record is from RNAcentral.
GGGUUGUGAGGUUAAGCGACUAAGCGUACACGGUGGAUGCCCUGGCAGUCAGAGGCGAUGAAGGACGUGCUAAUCUGCGAAAAGCGUCGGUAAGGUGAUAUGAACCGUUAUAACCGGCGAUGUCCGAAUGGGGAAACCCAGUGCAAUUCGUUGCACUAUCGUUAACUGAAUACAUAGGUUAACGAGGCGAACCGGGGGAACUGAAACAUCUAAGUACCCCGAGGAAAAGAAAUCAACCGAGAUUCCCCCAGUAGCGGCGAGCGAACGGGGAGCAGCCCAGAGUCUGAAUCAGCUUGUGUGUUAGUGGAACGGUCUGGAAAGUCCGACGGUACAGGGUGAUAGUCCCGUACACCAAAAUGCACAGGUUGUGAACUCGAAGAGUAGGGCGGGACACGUGGUAUCCUGUCUGAAUAUGGGGGGACCAUCCUCCAAGGCUAAAUACUCCUGACUGACCGAUAGUGAACCAGUACCGUGAGGGAAAGGCGAAAAGAACCCCGGCGAGGGGAGUGAAAAAGAACCUGAAACCGUGUACGUACAAGCAGUGGGAGCACCUUCGGGUGUGACUGCGUACCUUUUGUAUAAUGGGUCAGCGACUUAUAUUCUGUAGCAAGGUUAACCGUAUAGGGGAGCCGCAGGGAAACCGAGUCUUAACUGGGCGUUAAGUUGCAGGGUAUAGACCCGAAACCCGGUGAUCUAGCCAUGGGCAGGUUGAAGGUUGGGUAACACUAACUGGAGGACCGAACCGACUAAUGUUGAAAAAUUAGCGGAUGACUUGUGGCUGGGGGUGAAAGGCCAAUCAAACCGGGAGAUAGCUGGUUCUCCCCGAAAGCUAUUUAGGUAGCGCCUCGUGAAUUCAUCUUCGGGGGUAGAGCACUGUUUCGGCUAGGGGGUCAUCCCGACUUACCAACCCGAUGCAAACUACGAAUACCGAAGAAUGUUAUCACGGGAGACACACGGCGGGUGCUAACGUCCGUCGUGAAGAGGGAAACAACCCAGACCGCCAGCUAAGGUCCCAAAGUCAUGGUUAAGUGGGAAACGAUGUGGGAAGGCACAGACAGCCAGGAUGUUGGCUUAGAAGCAGCCAUCAUUUAAAGAAAGCGUAAUAGCUCACUGGUCGAGUCGGCCUGCGCGGAAGAUGUAACGGGGCUAAACCAUGCACCGAAGCUGCGGCAGCGACACUAUGUGUUGUUGGGUAGGGGAGCGUUCUGUAAGCCUGCGAAGGUGACCUGUGAGGGUUGCUGGAGGUAUCAGAAGUGCGAAUGCUGACAUAAGUAACGAUAAAGCGGGUGAAAAGCCCGCUCGCCGGAAGACCAAGGGUUCCUGUCCAACGUUAAUCGGGGCAGGGUGAGUCGACCCCUAAGGCGAGGCCGAAAGGCGUAGUCGAUGGGAAACAGGUUAAUAUUCCUGUACUUGGUGUUACUGCGAAGGGGGGACGGAGAAGGCUAUGUUAGCCGGGCGACGGUUGUCCCGGUUUAAGCAUGUAGGCUGGUUGUCCAGGCAAAUCCGGAUAAUCAAGGCUGAGGUGUGAUGACGAGGCACUACGGUGCUGAAGUAACAAAUGCCCUGCUUCCAGGAAAAGCCUCUAAGCAUCAGGUAACAU